CCUACGGUGGGCAGCCGUGAGGAAUAUUGGUCCAUGGUCGGGCGACUGAACCAGCCAAGCCGCGUGAGGGAGGAAGGUACAGAGUAUCGUAAACCUCUUUUGUCAGGGAACAAAGGCGGGGACGUGUCCCCGGAUGAGUGUACCUGAAGAAAAAGCAUCGGCUAACUCCGUGCCAGCCGCCGCGGUAAUACGGAGGAUGCGAGCGUUAUCCGGAUUUAUGGGGUUAAAGGGGUGCGCAGGCGGUCUGUUCAGUCAGCGGUCAAAGCCCGGGGCUCAACCCCGGCCCGCCGUUGAAACUGGCAGUCGCGAGUUGGAGAGAAGUAUGCGGAAUGCGCGGUGUAGCGGUGAAAUGCAUAGAUAUCGCGCAGAACUCCGAUUGCGAAGGCAGCAUGCCGGCUCCACACUGACGCUGAGGCACGAAAGCGUGGGUAUCGAACAGGAUUAGAUACCCGUGUAGUC
Molecule: ribosomal RNA, 459 nt
Filed under: uncultured bacterium
Lineage: Bacteria
Description: partial 16S ribosomal RNA
Rfam family: Bacterial small subunit ribosomal RNA
Source: RNAcentral